Molecule: ribosomal RNA, 255 nt
Filed under: uncultured bacterium
Lineage: Bacteria
Description: partial 16S ribosomal RNA
Rfam family: Bacterial small subunit ribosomal RNA
Source: RNAcentral
UACGUAGGUGGCAAGCGUUGUCCGGAAUUAUUGGGCGUAAAGAGCUCGUAGGCGGCUUGUCACGUCGGAUGUGAAAGCCCGGGGCUUAACCCCCGGGUCUGCAUUCGAUACGGGCUAGCUAGAGUGUGGUAGGGGAGAUCGAAUUCCUGGUGUAGCGGUGAAAUGCGCAGAUAUCAGGAGGAACACCGGUGGCGAAGGCGGAUCUCUGGGCCAUUACUGACGCUGAGGAGCGAAAAGCGUGGGGGAGCGAACAGG